Molecule: long non-coding RNA, 2042 nt
Organism: Vicia villosa (hairy vetch)
Lineage: Eukaryota; Viridiplantae; Streptophyta; Magnoliopsida; Fabales; Fabaceae
Exons: 2
Source: RefSeq, a predicted model, not a curated record
GGGGACCGCGCGCAUUAUCAAGAGGUGAUGGUGUAACUGAUGUCGGCAUGAAAAAAAGAUAAGUAUUAAUUUCACUAAAUAUGACUUUUUGCUGCAAUGAAAUCUUGCGCUAGCAGAUAAGUGAUAUACAUAUCAUUGUUCCGACGAUAUAUAUAUGCAAAAGCAUUGGAGAACGAUGAAAUCUUCUAAAAUUUCGGUUAGACUUAGUAUCGCGAACUCUUUUCAGUCACGACGGGAAAUCCCGGGGCUCUACGUCGUCCCAACCCCACAAGGGUCUUAAUUUUGAUUCUCUUUUGAUGUUUCAUUUUCAAUGAGAAUGAUUCACAUGACAACUGAAUCUCAAAUAUGCAGAACCACAUUAAUUCAUGUGUUAGAUAUAUCGGUAUCGUUUCUACCAUGUCCAUUUGUUGCUGCAUCUUCUGCGGAAUAAUUGUCUCUUUUUUGGUUUAUAUUUUCACAUUUUCUGACUGGUUCACAUCUUUAAACUUUUCCAAGUAGGUUUGAUUUGAACAAUGUUUACAUUUUCACUUUGUUAAAACUUCACACAAAUAUAUAGCUAAUGUGGUUCCUUUUUUUUUUCAUCUUAAGAUUUCUUUGGUUGCUACCGACUCAAAAACACCAUGAUUCCGUGAGCGAUGGAGACAUAUAUGCUGGUGUAUUAUUCUAUGGAAGUAUGAUAAUUUUGUUGAAUGAACAAUGUAAAGACAAUAUAAUAAACAAUUUCGUUCGAAACUUGAUUAUCAGGUCUGGUAGAUUUGGUAUGGUUUACAAAUGAGUACUUAAAGACAAUGUAAAGGUUGCUGUCAAGAGACAUAUGUCACGUUCAAGACAAGACAUUCCAAAAUUCCACUCCGAAAAUACCAAUAGAGCCGCAAAACUAUCUUGCGAACAAAUUAUGAGGUGGCCUGGUGGGCUGAUAUUUCACUUAUAAUGUUUCUCCAUUAAAAUCCUUUCAAGUAUUAUAUGACUGCAUUUUUUCAUAAGUAGAUGGUUCUAACAACAGUGAAAUUUCGCUUUGGGAGCUUGGGUUGCGAGAAAGGUUGGUUCUAACAACAUGUUCAAGAAAGUUAUCCUUUCAAUAACUUUGUCUCCGCUCCUGUAAGAAAAUCAUGAGCUUUUGUAUUUGAUUCAUCUACUGAUAUGGCUGCAUCAAUCAUGAAUUCAAGAUCUUUAGCCUUUGCGACACGAAGCGAAUGUUCUAUGGAUCGCGGUGUGGCAAGACACCAUAUUUUCUAAAUGUUUGUGGUUUAUUUUUUCUGCUAGGUUUCAGGGUGUUUUAGAAGACACAAAUGAUGCAGAAGUUGGUUGUGAAUGUGUUAAACUUUGGGUUCAGCAAUUUUAUCAAUGUGGCGAAGAAGUUGGCUGCGGUGUCAAACUCUAGGUUGAAGCAAUAGUCGGAGGCUGCUACUUUGUGGAGUUAGUUUGUCUGUUCAUGUAUAAUCUUGAUGAAUAAUAACUAUAACAUGGUUAUGUUACAGGUAUAUUUGCAACCGACAAAUGAACUAUUUGAGACGAUUUUUGGAGAUCCGAAAAAAGGACAGAUUUCGACGUGGAAUGUUGUGUCGAGGGUACUGUCUAGCUGAAUAUCAGUAGCAACUUUUCUGCUGCGACAACGUCGCAACUUCGAGUCUACAACCCAUCGUUAACUUUGGAUUUGCAAGGUAGCCUAAGUAUUUAUAUUUACUUCACCUUUAAAAUCCUGGGAAUUAUGUUUGGAAAAGGCUUUCUACUCCUUUUUAGAAUUUAGUUACUAAAGCAUCCUUGUGAGGUAGUGCAGAAGAACAUUCAAAUUUAGUAGUAGAUGCUACACAGAAAACAUCCAAAUUUAGUGAAGAACAUUCAAGUUUCCAAUGGUUACCAAUACCCUCUUCUAUCGGCGCUACUGCUCAAGAAGAUGGAGUAUAUUUUGCCAUUUAUUCUUUUCAACUAUAAUUAAUUUUCUUUUCCUUUGGAAUAUUAUAUUGCAUGCAUGCAUGGUUUGUGUUGUGUAGAACAGAUUCCUAUGCUCUUGCAUGUGAAUAAAGAGCAGCAAAUUUUCUGAA